UACGGAGGGUGCAAGCGUUAUCCGGAUUUACUGGGUUUAAAGGGUGCGUAGGUGGGUUGGGAAGUCAGUGGUGAAAUACUUUCGCUUAACGAAGGAACUGCCAUUGAUACUAUCAAUCUUGAAUGUAGUGGAGGUAGGCGGAAUGCGUCAUGUAGCGGUGAAAUGCUAGAUAUGACGCAGAACACCAAUUGCCGAAGGCAGCUUGCUACACUACUAUUUGACACUGAGGCACGAAAGCGUGG
This 242-nucleotide ribosomal RNA is filed under the name uncultured bacterium. Its description in RNAcentral is "partial 16S ribosomal RNA". It matches the Rfam family "Bacterial small subunit ribosomal RNA", at positions 524 to 764 of the family's 1533-position model. The record is from RNAcentral.